This is a long non-coding RNA of Orussus abietinus, 3716 nucleotides long. RefSeq lists it as uncharacterized. The record is from RefSeq and is a predicted model, not a curated record. NCBI's taxonomy places the organism in Eukaryota, Metazoa, Arthropoda, Insecta, Hymenoptera, Orussidae. The transcript is spliced from 2 exons.
UAUAAAAACGAACGUCGGCAACGUAGGCAUUUAGAAAAAUCUUCUCUAUCAACGUUGUUCAAGUUCCUCGACGUGUUUCACUUCACCUUAAGACUGUCAAAUUAAUGCGAACGAUUCACGCAUUCGACCGUCGUGAUUAUCCACGCAGGCAUAUACGAGUCAGUCACGACAGUAGUUCACGUUCCAUGGAAACCCGGCAUAAGACUGGCAAAUCAUUGCGAACGAUUCACGCUUUCGACCGCGGGAUUCUCUACGCAGGCAUACACGCUAGAAUCGUUCACGACAGUAGUUCACGCCCCAUGGGAACCCGGCAUACGACUGGCAAAUCAAUGUGAACGAUUCACGCUUUCGACUGUCGGGAUUAUCCACAAAGGCAUAUACGAGUUGUUCACGACAGUAGUUCACGCCCCAUGGGAACCCGGUAUAAGACUGGAAAAUCGAUGUGAACGAUUCACGCUUUCGACUGUCGGGAUUAUCCACAAAGGCAUAUACGAGUUGUUCACGACAGUAGUUCACGCCCCAUGGGAACCCGGCAUAAGACUGGAAAAUCAUUGCGAACGAUUCACGCUUUCGACCGCGGGAUUCUUUACGCAGGCAUACACGCUAGAAUCGUUCACGACAGUAGUUCACGCCCCAUGGAAACCCGGCAUGAGAUUGGUAAAUCAAUGCGAACGAUUCACGUUUUCGACUGUCGGGAUUAUCCACGCAGGCAUAUACGAGUCGUUCACGACAGUAGUUCACGUUUCAUGGGAACCCGGCAUAAGACUGGCAAAUCAUUGCGAACGAUUCACGCUUUCGACCGCGGGAUUCUCUACGCAGGCAUACACGCUAGAAUCGUUCACGACAGUAGUUCACGCCCCAUGGGAACCCGGUAUAAGACUGGUAAAUCAAUGCGAACGAUUCACGCUUUCGACCGUCGUGAUUAUCCACGCAGGCAUAUACGAGUUGUUCACGACAGUAGUUCACGCCCCAUGGGAACCCGGCAUAAGACUGGCAAAUCAAUGCGAACGAUUCACGCUUUCGACCGCGGAAUACACGCUAGAGUCGUUCACGACCGUGGUUCACGCCCCGUGGGAACGCGGAAAAAGAGACGAGGGGAAAAUAAACGACAGCUUCUACACCAUGGUUGGUAUUUUAUUGAAUAUAUGGUCGCGUGCGCGAGCGUGCACGACGCGCGUGUAUAUGCAUCCGUGUGUGCAUAGGCAUACGCUACAUACAAACAUACACUUACUUACUUCCUAUGCAUAUCUCUGAUAUGGUACACACGUACGGCUAUACGCUUAUACACAGACGCGUGCGGACGCGCGAGCGCGGGAGGGCGGGAAGAGGCGCACCCGCCCUCGCAUGGCCGUUUUACUCUCAAAGCGGACUCAUCGUACCUAGCCACGUUCACGGACACGCAAGCGUGUCGGGGAAUGUCCGGAACGGUCGCUUUCGGAGUAAAACCGGAACCGUCGCGGCUGCAGCCUCGCAAUCGGCGUUUCCCGCGUCCGGCCGUUCCUUCUCGCGCUCGAGAACGAUCGAAACCGGUGGUGUAUUGACUGGUUCCGUAACUAGGGCAACACGCUACGAUAUCACGUCUUUGCAAAUAUAUCCUCGUUACGAUAGCGGUAAUAUAACGGUUAAUGAUACAGUGGUUAUUAUUCAGCUUUUGGUUAUAUGCGAGAUAAACCUUUUCCAUCCGUCUCUCUCUCUCCCUCUCUACCCUUCUAUGUAUAUUAUGUAUACCUAUCCUGAAUAUGUAAUGUACACAUGUGCAACAUAUAUAUGUGUAAUAUGUAUACGAUAUAUACAUGCAUUCGCGCGGGCACGCGCCCGCCCUCGGUUAUAGCUUCUGGCUGCUUCUCUUUUUUGUACACGCGACGUCGAUCUCGCUCUCGUUAACUCGAACGAAGCGUGUCCGCGUGAGCUCGAGUGCGCUUGCGCGGCCCGAACCUCCGGAAGAACUCGAGGACGCGUCGAAUCCAAAAUGGCGGCCCGACAAGGGCACUCGCGCCCUGCCGACACGGAACGUCACCUUCGCGCAUUUAUCGUUACGGUUAACGACGGAACUGUUUGACUUUGCGCUCUACUAGGAUACACACUCAUCUUAUUUAGUUUAACACGGUCUUACGAUUCGACGGCGUCUUCUCGUCGGGCCCGAAUGUAGAAGUACGUCCGCGGGAGGAGCGAUUUAGUCGAGCGUACGCAUAUAGAAGUGUAAAAUUGUAUUUGGUCCAGAGAGAUUUUCCAAUUCUUCUCGGGUUGGUUUCUCCUGCCCGGACCCCCGCGUUUGUCGCCUUCGUCUUCGCGGGACUCUUCCUCGAGAAUCGCGAGAGUCGAGCAAAAUCCACCGGGAGGGAGAGGACUUCUUCCCUGGACUGAGCGACCGGGGAAGACUCUCGAGGAGCUGCUUUAUCUCACUCUGGAAAAAAUACAUCUUCCUCCCCCGGGCGUUUUUAAGCUCCUCCCGUGAUUUUCGGAAAGAUGUCCGACGAGCGUCAACGGUGCGUCGUCCGACUCGUUAACGGGGCCCACGAUAUUAUCUCUCCCUCUUUUAGUCCUUUAACCCUUUCGUUACCUUGGACGAGAUAUCUCGCGACCCAAUACUGGCCGAUUAACGCUUUUGACGAGAUAUCUCGCGACCCGAUACUGGCCGAUCAACGCUUUUGACGAGAUAUCUCGUCCAAAGUAACGAAAGGGUUAACCGUUUGCGUACCAGAUGGUUCUGAAAAAACGGGAUCGAAAAGCGCCAAAGAGCGCGAUCGCGCUCCUUCGUCUGUUUCGGCCAAAUGCCCUGGCUUUUCUCGACACAAAAUCUGAAGAGCGCGAAAGUGGCUCGUGGUACGCAAACGGUUAAUGCCUGCAUUUCCACCGACCUCGGGCAAAAUGAUAAUCCUCGGUUACGAGUUGCACGUUCCCCCACAUUUUAACGGGGAGAUAAUUUCAACUAACCACCGUUUAGAUUAACCAGUCAAAUUAGAUCGUUUAGCUUAAGUUAAUCGAACUUUAACCUAAAAACCGCACAAACGUGAGAAAAACAUGGAUCAGACCGGGGACGUAUUAACAUAUCGUGACGAAACGGAUGAAGACGUUUUUCAUCGUAUUUACAAGUACUUAAUGAUCGAAGUACGCUUGAAAAUAUUUUAUAUUCAUUCUUAACCGAAGAAAUUUACUUCUUCAGGCUUGAAUCUGUUAAAUAAGUUCUUGCACGAAGAUAGGCGGACUUCGUGUCUCGAGAAGGGCGCAUCCAUCUUGAUUUCUAAUCAAUCGGAAUAUCAGUCAAGGUUCGCUAAGUAUAAUACGUUAUGUAAUAUACGUGGUUUUCUCCGGGUAUAUUACAACGUAUAAUACGUCCCUAGUUUUCUACGCGAGCGCAAGGUAUAUCACGCCUUUCUCUUUUUAAAUAUAAAAUAAGAAAUCCAAUUAGAAAUUUCACAUUAACCAGGGUUAAGCCGAUAGAAUUUGAACACAAACGCCAAAUUAAUUAUUUCUUAACAGUUUUCACGCGUUUAUAUGUGCGCUAAAGGACGUUAACCUCGGGAAUACAUAUAGCAUGCAUCUGUGGAUUCCGCCAUAUUGAAAAUGUAAAAUUCUAAACAAUUUCGAACACAAGCUCCAAAUUAAUUCAUUGUUCCUUAAAAUAUUUCCGUAUUUACAGAUGUGUUAAGAGACGUUUAUAACCUAAUAAAAGCCAUAUAUCAUCCAUUGCGGCAUUCUUCAUAUUGGAAACGUAA